UAAAGGUUUGGUCCUAGCCUUACUAUUAAUUUUAGCCACACUUACACAUGCAAGUAUCAGCACACCCGUGAAAAUGCCCUCUACCACCCAUAAGUAACUGAGGAGCGGAUAUCAGGCACUUCUCUCGCCGAAGACAUCUUGUUCAGCCACACCCCCAAGGGAACUCAGCAGUGAUAAACAUUGAAAAAUAAGCGACAUCAAGCUUGAAUCAGUGAUGGCCACCCAGAGUCGGUAAAUCUCGUGCCAGCCACCGCGGUUAUACGAAAGACUCAAAUUAAUAAAGUCGGCUCAAAGGGUGGUUAGAGACAUAUAUAAAAUAGAACUAAAACCCAGCUCCGCUGUCGCACGCAAUAGAUUAAAAAAAUACAAAAUCGAAAGUAGCUCUACUGACACAACUUGAACCCACGACAGCUAGGAAACAAACUGGGAUUAGAUACCCCACUAUGCCUAGCUAUAAACUUUGACUAAUCCGCCAGAGUACUACGAGCAACAGCUUAAAACUCAAAGGACUUGGCGGUGCUCUACACCCCCCUAGAGGAGCCUGUUCUGUAAUCGAUAAUCCACGAUAAACCUCACCACCUAUUGCUAAUACAGCCUAUAUACCACCGUCCAGCCCACCCUUUAAGGGACAAACAGUAGGCAAAACUACAGACAUAAAAACGUCAGGUCAAGGUGUAGCACAUGAGGCGGGAAGAAAUGGGCUACAUUUUCUAACCUAGAAAACACGGAAAAGUCUAUGAAAUAAGACUACAAAGGAGGAUUUAGCAGUAAAAAGAAAAAAGAGUGUUCUUUUUAAGCCGGCAAUGGAGCGCGCACACACCGCCCGUCACCCUCUUCAAGCAAUUACCACAACAUUAAAUAAGCAAACCAUAAAAAAAGAAGAGGCAAGUCGUAACAUGGUAAGUCUACCGGAAGGUGAACUUGGAA
Molecule: non-coding RNA, 927 nt
Filed under: Taricha rivularis (red-bellied newt)
Lineage: Eukaryota; Metazoa; Chordata; Amphibia; Caudata; Salamandridae
Description: 12S ribosomal RNA
Rfam family: Bacterial small subunit ribosomal RNA
Source: RNAcentral